Balaenoptera ricei (Rice's whale) is the source of this 736-nucleotide long non-coding RNA. RefSeq lists it as uncharacterized. Lineage: Eukaryota; Metazoa; Chordata; Mammalia; Artiodactyla; Balaenopteridae. The transcript has 2 exons. The record is from RefSeq and is a predicted model, not a curated record.
CGCGCCCGCCGGCGGGCGCCGGACGGCGCGGAGUCGCGACCGACGCCAUAUUAAGGAGCGGGGAGCCCGGGAUACCGUCAGCGGCGACCGCGGCCGGACGCGGCGUAGCUGCGCUCAGCGGAGGCGGGCGCGGCGUGGCGCCGGGAGAGGCGGGGCCGGCGGAGCCAGCGGGCGACGGGAGCGAGCCAGCUCUCUCGAACUCACACAACAGAUUGUCAACCUAGCAGCGCAAAUUAACACUCUACAAGAACAAAUAAAUUCUCCAGCAGGAGUGGUUGUACAGAAUAGGAGAGCUGUAGCCUUACUGCUAACCAAGGUGGGACCGGUGCAAUGUUAAAGGAGGAUUGCUGUUUUAUUUGCUUAUUUAAAGAGAGGGAGAAAUGUGGUGCUCCAAGGACAAAGAAAAGAUAAACUCAGAAGGCCAACAUCGCCGGAACAGAGAGUUACGGGACUCAUCACUCUGUCACGUAGCAACCAUUCCGUCUUUGAGCCCUCCCAGCCAUUCUGCCCUGCUCCUUUCACGUCCCAUAUAAGGAAGGGUAUUUGUCCUGUUCUUCCCCCCACUCUGCACACUGGAAGUAUGCAUACCCUACCCAAUCAGCAGAUGACUCGCAAGUUCCUUUGUUCCCUGGCUAUAAAAAGAGACAAGUAACCCAUGCUCGGGGUCAGCUCUCCCUAUCAGAAAGUCAGCCCGCUGUUCUGGCAGCGACCCUUCAAUAAAUUCUUUUUUACAUUC